This 580-nucleotide long non-coding RNA is filed under the name Homo sapiens (human). RNAcentral's name for it is "non-protein coding lnc-TRPM1-1:21". Lineage: Eukaryota; Metazoa; Chordata; Mammalia; Primates; Hominidae. The record is from RNAcentral.
ACAGAGCCUGCCUGUUGGUCUCUACCCACAGGGGAUCCCCUGCUGCUCCACCAUCAGAUUUGGGACACCACCCCCCCCCCGGCCCCACCAGAGGGCAUCAGCUAUGCCUAGCAAUUACGCCCCCGUGGCUAAAUUAAACUCCCAUUGGCUAAAUUAGGCUCGAAGAGAGGGGCACCUGCUGCUAAGCUGUGUAUGUUGUCCCCUAGGACUCCCACCGUUUGCUGAGCUCCACAUGACAACAGCAGACGACAGGCCGCACUGAUCCCACCUGGCUUACAGGUGCUGUCACACAGGUACGCCUUCUUGUGAAUCAUCAGUCACCAUUUGCCCCUCGCAGCAACCCUGUCUUGGAGGAAGGUCCUUGCCGACACCCGCCUCUCCCCACCCUUAGGCUCCCUUGCUCCUUCAUUCAACCAUUGUUUACAUGUCGUUCAGGACUGCUGACUAAACACUUUCAAGCACAGUGGACCCUUGAACAACGCAGGUUCAAACUGUGCAGGUCCACCCACAGGGAUGUUUUUCAAUCAGAGUUAUACCAAGUGUCCCUGCCUCUCCUGCCUCCCUUCCCACUUCCUCCAUG